CACUCGCUCCAGUGAUGUUUGAGCCCCAGCAUAGAUCAGCAUGCCAGGAAGCAGCCCACCGGACCCACCCCUGAUCAUGGCACUGGACAUUGUUUUCCGUGCUUUUCUCAGGCUGGUUUCUGCCUGUCCCAACCCUGGCCAUGGCUGACAAGGGGCCCAGGGACACUGGAGCAGAGAGACCUGCUGGUCCUUGGGGUUUCUUGCAAGAGUGAAUCAUCUGUGAACACUUCCUGUGAACGUGUGACUAUGAUUAUGGAACACUCUGUUGCAUCAAGAUGGCCAGAGAUUGUCUCAGAGUCCAGGCAGUGGGAGGAGGGGGGAUUUGUUUCCUGGCUGGGUGGUCGUAGGGCAUCAAGGGAUGAGCAGCUUUGGUUGUCUGGGAUUUCAGCAGCUUGAGGGGAGCUGUAGGGCCCCAGAGCUGUCGCUGUGGCUGUGGUGUCAGAAAUGUAAGCAAGGUGCCUCCAUGGAGGUUAGCGAGGGUGCCCCUCUGAAUGCCGGGUGGAAUGCAACCUUUCGCAUGGAGGAGGCCCUCAGCAGCUGACCUCUGUCUUCCCUGUGUAGAGGGAGGGAGGCUGAGGCUGGGGCUGAGCGAGGGGUAAAGUAAGCCACGUGUCUCAUCAGCUAGCCUGCAGCAAGCACAGCCCUCUGGGAGGGCUGGUUCUAUCCUCCUCCUUGGUGUGAAAUCCAUCAAUCUAAUAGGGAUCCUUAUUUUCCCAGCCACCAAGUCACAAUGAGCAAUAAUCUCUUCUUGUUGGUGCAUAUAAAUUUGCUUCAUUCUUUUUUAAACAGCUGCCUUGUGUCGCCUUUUGCAUUCAGCCCAAGUCCAGCCUAGGAGGACAGCCUUAUCUUAAGUCACUGAGGGAACUAGCUUGCCUAACUGAAAGGGCUUUGCCCUGGAAGGAGAAGGGUCUUCUGGAAACAUAAAACGUUUCAGGGGAGGGCAGUCCUGAAUGAGAUGGCUCUAGGGGGUGGGGGACACUGGACCGCCUGAAGGUACUGGGCAUCUGGCCUGGGCUUUUGAGGAAAUGCAAAGCCAUGCUAUAGAUGAUGCUGAGCAAAGGCGGGAGAGAGACGUGGGGGUCCUACCGGGGUCACUUGAAAACCCCUUCUCCGGCCUCCCCCACGCUAACCCAUCUCUCCUGGCACGCAAGUCUGGAAAGGCCACUGGCCCUAACCAUGCUGGCUCUGCGUCCACCUUCCUCUUCAAUUCAAAUGGCUUGGAUAAAGCCAUGGGUUAUGACGCUUAACCCAUCACUGUGGGAAACUGGAUGACUUGGGGAACAAAGCCAACCUUUUGCUGUCUUGCGGAGGCAGGCAGUGGAGGGUUAUUGCCAAAAGCCUGAGCUCCGGAGCUGUGAUCUCUGAGUCUCAGUUUCCCCGUGUAAAAUGUGAUUCGAAUGAUACCUACUUCACAGGGGUAUUGUAGGGAUUGAAGGAAAUAAUGGGGAGAAGGCAUUUAUCCAAUGCCCGGCAUAGACUCUCGCAGUAACUCCCAGUUGCUCAGGCUAGUCGGGGAGGGUGGGACUGCGGCUCUAGCAGAGCCAUGGCGCCACCUUGCGGUUCUGUCGGCCAGGACAGUCGGUUAAUCAGAUUCAAAUCCAGUGACCCUUUUUCAAGCGCCUGUGAGUAGGCCUGUGCUGGGUUGAACUCAUUAUUAUUUAAACAUGUAAACUGUGUAAUGGUAAGUACAGUGCUAGUGUCUAACAGAACAUCUUGGAAAGAUCUUACAGUGCGAUGCUGGAGAAACAUCGUUUGGAAGGAACCCGCUCUCCACGCCCCCAUCAAAGGGACCCCCUUCUAAGCUACCAUGACUGCUCAAAUACCCCAGACGUUCCCAGCUUCAGCGACUAACUGGAAACAAGGUUUUGUUAGCUUAAGAGCAAGGAGAGGGGAUUCAUGAUCAGAUUUAAAAUGUCUCCUCAGUUUCCAAGUCCUGCCAUAUUGCUUCUCCCAGUUUCACUCAAACCCCCGCUCCCCUCCCCAGCCCCCUAGCCCACCACUGGUCUGCUGUCUUUCCUCUCUCCGGACCCGCUCAGGUCUCCCAUUCCCUUUGCUUUUCCCCUCCACCCCCACCUCCACUGUAACCUGCUAUGGUUAGUCUCCUCCUCUUCCUGCUGCACCCCUC
Molecule: long non-coding RNA, 2125 nt
Filed under: Homo sapiens (human)
Lineage: Eukaryota; Metazoa; Chordata; Mammalia; Primates; Hominidae
Description: HSALNT0021295
Source: RNAcentral